GAGAAAGAGAGAGAGAGAGAGAGGUAGGAGAAAGAGUACCGGCACUGGCUAGAAAAACAGGAGGGGAAAGAGAAGAGAAGAGAAGGGGGACCAGUAGGGGAUAGACUUAUGAAGGAGGGACGACUGGAUAGGAAUUGGUAAAUUCGCGGGAAAGAGGAGAAAAAACAAAACUCCAGAAUGAGAAGAAACCGGACUUCUCAUCAAACUCAGGCUCGCACUCUGGUCGCCUUUGAUUUUGUUUUUUCACAUGAUUUUUCAUCACUUCUCCGGUCAUCCUCUCAUUCAUCUGUCGAGCCUCUGAGACCACCUGAACUUUUUCACCGAAGAUGAUUUUUAUCAGGAAUGCCGUGGUCAACCAUAGAAGCUCCCUAGUGAGAAGAGAGCCAUGGGAAAAACCUCGAACUAGAUCCCCGGUUGUGAGGAUGUGAUCCAGUCCAUUUUGUGCAAACGUGUCAAGACGAAACAUUUCAUGUCGGACUGCAACCGCAUCGAUAAAAAACAACGGUAACCAUCCAAUAUGACGUAUUAACUGUUUCUCAUCUAUUCUAGUGUAUUUUUGUUGUAAUAGAAGAUGCUAUGUAUCUAUCAGUAGUUAAACAUUUAUUUAUAUGCAGCUUUAAUGUAAAAAGUUAAUGUCAUUGAGCUAAAAUAACAAAAUAAUUCAUAAUAAACAUGCAAGCCACGUCUUCAUAGCGGCAUAUAUACAUACGUCACCGAAACAUAUUCUUUCAUGUUACAAAAUACAAAAUACUUAAGAAGUCUUGUUGGAUUUAACCUGCGGAUGAGGCUUAUCGAACUGCAUCUGUCUGUCAGUGUGCG
Molecule: long non-coding RNA, 819 nt
Organism: Centropristis striata (black sea bass)
Lineage: Eukaryota; Metazoa; Chordata; Actinopteri; Perciformes; Serranidae
Exons: 4
Source: RefSeq, a predicted model, not a curated record